Molecule: ribosomal RNA, 301 nt
Filed under: uncultured bacterium
Lineage: Bacteria
Description: partial 16S ribosomal RNA
Rfam family: Bacterial small subunit ribosomal RNA
Source: RNAcentral
CAGUCGCCGCGGUAAUACGUAGGUGGCAAGCGUUGUCCGGAAUUAUUGGGCGUAAAGGGCUCGCAGGCGGUUUCUUAAGUCUGAUGUGAAAGCCCCCGGCUCAACCGGGGAGGGUCAUUGGAAACUGGGAAACUUGAGUGCAGAGGAGGAGAGUGGAAUUCCACGUGUAGCGGUGAAAUGCGUAGAGAUGUGGAGGAACACCAAUGGCGAAGGCGACUCUCUGGUCUGUAACUGACGCCGAGGAGCGAAAGCGUGAGGAGCGAACAGGAUUAGAUACCCCGGUAGUCCCUGUCUCUUAUAC